GCCGCCUGCUUCGCCCCUAUUGCAAGCAAAAGCAGAGGCGGUGUGGUUUGUCUUGCUUGUUCGAUUGGGCUUUGAUGCUUGCGGUGCUGACUGACACAGUGUUCGUUUCCCACACGCUUUGAUCUGAUGACAAUUUAGCACCUCGCUGUGGAAUGCGUCCAAGUGGGAGAGCAAUUCAAUAUCGAAGACCGGCGACUUUGCGAGACCCAAAAAUAUACACUCGAUGGAGAUAUUAGAAUGCGUAGACGAAAAUAUUACUUAUUGUAAGCAUGUAGUGAAACGAAUCAAAAAGUAGUGGUAAGGAAUCACCGAGGAGUCAUUAAAAUUGUUUCACGCAUACGGCCAAAAAAAGGGAAACACACAAUCAUGUUUUGGUACCAGUAACUACUAGUCUUGGAUACCGACUCCUUUACAUGAGAACCACACGGAGCAUCGAAAUAAAUGAGCAUAGGAACUGCAGCAAUAAUGUUACAUGUAUCAUCAACUUUUAACACGAACCUUCCGUUCCAUCCUUCAUCUCUCACACACACUGGAAAGCUAAUACGGUUCAUCGUCGGGCUUCGUCAAGUACUUCUUUCAGCAUGGCAUAAACAAAAACAAGGUGAACUUCAUGUACAUCACAUUUCUUGCUUCAAGAAUUCUAAAACUCGGUUUACUCGAUGCACAUCUUUAGUAUUGUUGGAUAGUGGUAGUAACAUUCAGGCACCAUAUUUUCUGACGCAGAUUUACAGGGCAUAGAUGCGAUGGUCGAACCAGAAACACAUUCAUGCCACCAGCCGAACAAGACAAACCUAUAAUGGGUCUGGAAAUCGGAGAUCAGCUGGUCCAGGGCCUAGGAUGCCCUUGUCAUGCUCUCCAAGGACGGUGCCGGGAACAAGGUUCGUGUCUGUUUGCCCAUUUCUAUCUUCUUCUGUAGGAGCCGGCUGUCUCCAGCUGCCCCCUAACCAUUCGUGCUGCUAAUAAGAUGAAUAAUACAGGGUUAAGGAACAUAAGACUCUGUCCAACAAAGUCAGAAAAGGCUAUAUAGUUCAAUUUAGAACAUCACGACUUACUUCUUCAUGACUGUAAUUUCCAUCAAGCAACAUAGGGGUCACGACGGGUGGGACGACAUCUG
This 1114-nucleotide long non-coding RNA is filed under the name Musa acuminata (dwarf banana). RNAcentral describes it as "long non-coding RNA (MACU_LNC001529)". Lineage: Eukaryota; Viridiplantae; Streptophyta; Magnoliopsida; Zingiberales; Musaceae. The record is from RNAcentral.